Molecule: long non-coding RNA, 1096 nt
Organism: Episyrphus balteatus (marmalade hoverfly)
Lineage: Eukaryota; Metazoa; Arthropoda; Insecta; Diptera; Syrphidae
Exons: 3
Source: RefSeq, a predicted model, not a curated record
CACUAUGCCAUUCAGGAGGGAUAUAAUUUCCCAAAGCUCUGACAUUGACCUCCAGACAGUCCUUCAGGAGUGGCCGCUUUACAAAUAUUCACGAGCGCCAGAACUGAUUGCCAUGGAUUACAAUUUUAUAAAACCGAAUAAUGGGUUCGACUUCACCAAAUGGGAACAAUUUUCGAAAAUAGCCCUAGAAUUGUUCACAGCGAGGAUCAAGUGCAGCGCUCUUAAAUCAUUCCUCAAUGAAUUCAGGGAGAAUAUUGACGACCUUGACAUAGAUAACGUCAAUAUUGGCUAUGCAACUCUGUUACAUGGAGUGUUGCCUCCAUCAUCGCAGCAGUUUAAUGGUAAAUUGAAGAAAUUUACAAUUGAAGAUUCAAAAUCAUCUUUCACUCUGGAAGUGGAAUGUGCAGGCCAGGUCGAACCUAUGCUAAAAAUAAAAAGGGAGGAAUGUUUAAAAUCGAAAACAAAACUUCAGCCCCUAAUAAUUGUUGUUGGUGAGAGAUUUCAUUAUAAUAAUUUUUAUGUGUCCUUGGACAAUAUUAUGUUUAAAUUAGAUACUUAUUUGGACUGCAUUAUUUUUUAUUUAAAGCUCGUUUAUGUAUUAAAUAUUCAAUACCCUCCACAGUGUUUUUCGGUAUGGGUUUUUAUACAAAUGUUUUUCUUUAAUAUUCAAGACUGUAAAAAAAUACCUUCUGUUUCAACUUUACUAAAUGAUAUCAAUGCAUUAAUUAAUUAAAUUAUAUCAAUGUAUUAUUUUGUACAGUCCAUGUUCUACAUAUACAGUACUGGACAAAAUAAAAUACGCACUAUCCGAACUUUCUUAUUUAUGCUUUUCUCGCUCCCCAAGUCAUCAAUAAAAUAUUCUAAAGUAGUGAUUAAGAAAGUCUAAUACUAUCCUUAUACGGUUCUGUCGAAAUAAUGUAAAAAAUGCUUGAAACGAGAGAGAAAAUAAUUUAAGUUCUUAAUUUAAGUUCUCACUAAAGAUUAUUUUAUUGAUAACUUGGGGAGCGAGAAUAGCAUAAAUGUUCGGAUAGUGCUUUUUUUAUUUUGUCCAGUACUGUAUUUAAUGUAUUGCUGAAGUGAGUUUGUAAAAAGAAAG